Molecule: long non-coding RNA, 275 nt
Filed under: Brassica napus (rape)
Lineage: Eukaryota; Viridiplantae; Streptophyta; Magnoliopsida; Brassicales; Brassicaceae
Description: long non-coding RNA (BNAP_LNC012213)
Source: RNAcentral
GAGUCUUUAGCAAGUAUAGGAGCUUACAUGGCUACUGAUCUCAAAAGGGUCGCUGGAAUUCAACUCUCGAUCAACCACUUAAAGACUGCCGAUCUUGGAGACACUGUAUUCGCCGAAGCAUCUCCUGUAAGCUCAGGCAAAACCAUUCAGGUUUGGGAAGUCAAGCUUUGGAAGUCGAGAAAAGAUUCGGAGAACAAAACCUUAAUAUCUUCCUCUAGAGUCACACUCCUCUGUAAUCUUCCUACCCCUGGUCACGCCAAAAAUGUAUCGGACCC